RNAcentral lists this long non-coding RNA (831 nucleotides) under Eucalyptus grandis. RNAcentral's name for it is "long non-coding RNA (EGRA_LNC000394)". Lineage: Eukaryota; Viridiplantae; Streptophyta; Magnoliopsida; Myrtales; Myrtaceae. The record is from RNAcentral.
AUGUAUUGGUCAUCUGUCGAGGUGUAUCGACGUAUAAUCCACGGCAGAAGAAGGCGACGUGUUGAAUAUUUAUAUAUAAAUCUUCUUUCCCUGGCCGGUACGUGACAUGAACAUGUUCCCCCCCAUUAAAGAAGAGCGGUCAAUAAUCAACAAGACACUUUUCGGUCAAACGCACGAAGGACCGCUACCAAAAAGUGGAGACGCCCCCAAUCAUUUCUGGCAAGUGCGCGUUACGUUCCAUGAUCAAAUUUCCUUCGCACCCUUUCGACCAUCCUCAAUUUGCUGAGUUCUCUUUUUUCACAAUCCGAAAGGGAAAGGGCGACUUUUUUUUUAGCUUUCCAACGAAUGCUGUUGCCAGAUUUUAUGUCAAAUCAAAACGUUUAUUUCAUAAAAAAAGAGCCCAAACCAUCAAGAACAUCGCCUCCCCCCCAUGACAGAACAUAGACCAAACAAAUACAGCCACGAAAGAGCUAGAAACGAGGACGAGAGAGAGAGAGAGAGAACACAGGCCUUCCAAGAUCCUCCUCGGCCUCGCCGGCGGCUACCUCGACUCCUCUCGGCCUCUCCAACCACCCCCCGUCUCUCGAUCUCCUCCCCUUCCGGCCUCGACCUAGCCCGUGCCGCGCGUCCCUCAUGCCGGAAGAAUUAGCGCAUCGGCAAGACCUCCCGCGCAUCGCAGAUCGUUGGUUCUCACAAAGUUCAUGCCAAUGCUAUGAUUCAACAUCGUAGGUUUUUCCGAACGAUGGUAUCGAUGAGUUCUAACUGGUGAGUACAAACCGAUGUGUCGGAUAAGUACGAAUAAAGUGGCUAGCAAAAGGGGUUCGGUUCGUU